This 383-nucleotide ribosomal RNA is filed under the name uncultured eukaryote. RNAcentral describes it as "partial 18S ribosomal RNA". It matches the Rfam family "Eukaryotic small subunit ribosomal RNA", at positions 592 to 976 of the family's 1831-position model. The record is from RNAcentral.
CAAUAGCGUAUAUUAAAGUUGUUGCGGUUAAAAAGCUCGUAGUUGGAUUUCUGGUGGGAGCGAUCGGUCUGGCGCUUAGCGCGAGUACUUGCAUCGUCUCCGGCCAUCCUUGGGGAGAGUCUGUCUGGCAUUAAGUUGUCGGGCAGAGGAUCCUCAUCGUUUACUGUGAAAAAAUUAGAGUGUUCAAAGCAGGCUUAUGCCGUUGAAUAUGUUAGCAUGGAAUAAUAAGAUAGGACUUUGGUACUAUUUUGUUGGUUUGCGCACCAAAGUAAUGAUUAACAGGGACAGUUGGGGGUAUUCGUAUUCCGUUGUCAGAGGUGAAAUUCUUGGAUUUACGGAAGACGAACUACUGCGAAAGCAUUUACCAAGGAUGUUUUCAUUAA